RNAcentral lists this ribosomal RNA (2535 nucleotides) under Triticum aestivum (bread wheat). Its description in RNAcentral is "partial small subunit ribosomal RNA". Lineage: Eukaryota; Viridiplantae; Streptophyta; Magnoliopsida; Poales; Poaceae. The record is from RNAcentral.
AUGGCGACUGAGCUGGCCGCCGACGACCCCCCCGUAGUGCACCUCCGCGCGACGGGCGAGGCACUCGCCACAGACAUGGCGGACGAGCACCGCGCGGGAGGCGAGGGUCGCGGCAUGACGACCGUCUACGACCUCUGCACCACCGACAAGCGACCGUCGCGCACCGUCCCCACCGUCGACGACCUGUGCGCCGCCAACAAGCCAACUCCGCGGGUCGUCCCCACAGUCCCGGAGUUCCCCGUAGCCGAGGAGCUACCCAAUCCAGAGCUUUUAAACAAAGAUACAAUUCCCGAGCCUUUGGAGUCAAACAACAACAGUAAAAAUGAUGGUUCAGGGGAUGAUAGCAUGGAUGAGCAAGAGGAGCAAAGUAUAGUUGAUAUGACAGAAUCAGAUGCAUCAGACGGCAUGCUGAUCGAUGGCCUGAGAACAUUUUUACAGAAAAGACAAGAGAGGAAGCAGGAGAGGAGUGCUUUGAAAGAGAAAAGGAAGAAGAGGACAAGGCCAGAGAAAGGAAAAGCCAAAGGGCACAUGAACAAAGGAAGAGCAACUGCAUACAGCAGGUUUAGCAUUGGAUAUUUCGCGAAGAUUGUUGAUGUUGUGUGCCAAAGCAAUCAUAGGAUGGAGGUUGUGAGGAACGGCGGUUUUGGAUACUUGCUCGAGCUAGAAGAUUGUUAUGUUCCAAGGCCUUUUGCUCAAUGGGUCGCAGACAACAUAUCCACAAAAGAGGAAGCAAUUGUACUUGGUGGCAAAUCAGUCCCUCUCAACCCUGAAGCCGUAUCAUUAGUUCUUGGUAUACCAGCAGGAAGAACAAAGAUCAGAGUGCUCGACGAGGAGUCCGGGAAAGCGGAGUUUCUAUCACUGUUUGGGCUAACAGAUCUUCCAUCAAUAAGUUUCUUCAGAAAUAAGCUUAUGAAGGAAGAGCUGCCUGACGACGUUUAUCUUCGCUGCUUCUUGACUGUCGCACUAGCAACCUUCCUGUGUCCCACAUCCAACACAAAGCCAAGCACCAAAUAUUUGGGAGCCCUUGUUGAUGUGUCAAAGUAUAAAGAUCUUUAUUGGUGCUCUUUCGUCCAUACAUGGAAUAUCUCUUAUGUCAAGAAAUAUCAAUCAGACAAGCUGAAGGAGAAACGGAUAACAACAACUUUGGGAGGCUGCAUAUAUCAGCUAGCAGUUCGGUGUCUAGACUUCAACAAUUUUGGAUCAAUAACAAUCCCUCCAGCACUACAAACCAUUAAACAUUUCAGUGAUAUGCUCCUCGGGAAAGAUGGACUCUAUGGAGCUCUCCAAAUCAAAGAUGAGGCAGAAACUUGCUAUGCACAAACUGAUGGUGCAUGGGCAAGCACCUCCAAGAACUCUAACAUCAGAAAAGCUAUACAUAGGGUCUUAGGCAACUCUUUUCCAGAGAAGAUCAAAGAAGAUAUAUUCCUCAAUUUCCAGGAGCGCGUAAAAGAUCAAAACCUGUCCACAUGUCUGAUAGCAAAACUAGUGCUGCUAGACACUUUGAACAUUGUUUCUUCUUCUUUCGAUGGCUCUCAACAUACCGAGAAGUUAGAGUCCUCCGACCAUUUGUAUAUGCCAACUAACGAAGAUAAUGGGUCUGGAAGUACUAUUAGAGUUGAUUCCAAUGGGAUUGAGAUAAACAGUGAUGGAAGAGGCAGGAAGAAGAGAAUGAAGACUAGUACACAGCAGUCAGAAACUUCAACAACUAAGGACAAUAUAUUGGAAGUUAAAAUAAAGGGAAGCAGACUUGAAGCAGCUGUGGAAGGAGGGGAAGCUGAAAUGCAGUCAGUACCGGGCAAUGGUCACACGAAAGAGCUCCAAAAAGAAGUUGUAAUGGAACAAACCAUGCAGAAUAGCAACGUCGCAACACAACAACCAGAGAUGAAUAUGCUUGAUGCAGAUACCAAUUUUCCCAAGUGCAAUGCUAGUGAUUGUUCGACUCAAAAAGAAGCACCUGAAAAGAGCACUAGCCUGAACUACAUGUUGUUAUCAGCUAGAUUGGCAAGAGCACUCGAAACGACAGAACAAGAUAUGAAUUCAAAGGAUGAAGCCAGCACACAUGUACCACCAACUUUCUCAGGUUUCCAACAUAACGCUGUUAACAGUAAUCAAUCUGAGCAUUGCACCGAAAGCAAGACAAUGUAUCAAGCAAACAAAGCAGCAGCAAUUGAGUGUGUGGAAUUAGAUACCACUGCCUUCCCACAAGACAACAAUAACCAAGAUGAUUUUCGUUUCAAUGAAGUCAGGGAGCAGGGGAAACAUGCAGGACUUGAUAUUGAUAUCAACAUACCACUAUCAAAUAGCGGUAUAGAUGACAAGCAUAAACAUGUGGAAGAUUUCCAACACACUAUGCAUCCAUUGGACAUUGCAAGACAAAAGUAUUUCUUUUUUGAUGAUAUGGCACCUAGCUGCAGAAUUUUUGUUGACCAUGAUGAUUGUGGGAACGAAAUAACAGAGCCAGAACUGUGGCGCGAUCUAGACAUGGACUCGAAUGCAUAUGAAGUCCAAAUAGAGGAAGCUAAGAAAAAAAUAUAA